GACGAACGCUGGCGGCGUGCUUAACACAUGCAAGUCGAACGAUGAAGCCUAGCUUGCUAGGUGGAUUAGUGGCGAACGGGUGAGUAAUACGUGAGUAACCUACCUUUAACUCUGGGAUAAGCCCGGGAAACUGGGUCUAAUACCGGAUACGACCAAUCUCCGCAUGGGGUGUUGGUGGAAAGCGUUAUGUAGUGGUUAUAGAUGGGCUCACGGCCUAUCAGCUUGUUGGUGGGGUAACGGCUCACCAAGGCGACGACGGGUAGCCGGCCUGAGAGGGUGACCGGCCACACUGGGACUGAGACACGGCCCAGACUCCUACGGGAGGCAGCAGUGGGGAAUAUUGCACAAUGGGCGCAAGCCUGAUGCAGCGACGCCGCGUGAGGGAUGACGGCCUUCGGGUUGUAAACCUCUGUUAGCAGGGAAGAAGAGAGAUUGACGGUACCUGCAGAGAAAGCGCCGGCUAACUACGUG
RNAcentral lists this ribosomal RNA (471 nucleotides) under uncultured bacterium. RNAcentral describes it as "partial 16S ribosomal RNA". It matches the Rfam family "Bacterial small subunit ribosomal RNA", at positions 28 to 507 of the family's 1533-position model. The record is from RNAcentral.